Molecule: transfer RNA, 93 nt
Filed under: bacterium
Lineage: Bacteria
Description: tRNA-OTHER
Source: RNAcentral
GGUGGGUAUUGCCUGUCGGUACAGGACCGGGCCUGAGACACCCGGAGUCGGGAGAGAACCCUCCCGGCUGUGGUUCGACUCCACUGCCCACCG